This 407-nucleotide long non-coding RNA is filed under the name Equus asinus (donkey). Its description in RNAcentral is "lncRNA (ENSEASG00005024674.1)". The record is from RNAcentral. Lineage: Eukaryota; Metazoa; Chordata; Mammalia; Perissodactyla; Equidae.
CGGAAGUGACGCCCUGCCCGCUCAGGGCGGAAGUUCCCCGCCCCAGCUGUAAGAAUUGGGGUUUGGCUAGAGGCGAGCGAGGAUCCCGGCCGGGCUCCAGUUGUCCACGGCUCCUCCUCCUGUCGCGGCCGGCGUGCUUCCCGGGACUCAGAAUUUCCAGAUUUACCUCCAGAGGUCUUAUGUCAUUGAACAUCCCCACAACGACGUGUGAGAGUGCCUGUUUCUCACAGCCUCACCAACGGAGUGUAUUGUCAAGAAAGGACUGUUAGCUCCAGAUGAGAAAACUGAGACUUUAAGAUCAUUUCCCAAGGUCACAUUGCUGUUAAAUAGUACAGACAAUAUGAUAACCUUAAGAGCCUGAUUCCAGAGCCCAGUCUCCUAAAUUAUACUGUCCUGCAUAUCUGGAU